AGGGUGCAAGCGUUAAUCGGAAUUACUGGGCGUAAAGCGUGCGUAGGCGGUUUGUUAAGUCUGUCGUGAAAGCCCCGGGCUCAACCUGGGAAUGGCGAUGGAUACUGGCAAGCUAGAGUGUGUCAGAGGAUGGCGGAAUUCCCGGUGUAGCGGUGAAAUGCGUAGAGAUCGGGAGGAACAUCAGUGGCGAAGGCGGCCAUCUGGGACAACACUGACGCUGAGGCACGAAAGCGUGGGGAGCAAACAGGAUUAGAUACCCUGGUAGUCCACGCCCUAAACGAUGCGAACUGGAUGUACGUCUCAACUCGGAGAUGUGUGUCGAAGCUAACGCGUUAAGUUCGCCGCCUGGGGAGUACGGUCGCAAGACUGAAACUCAAAGGAAUUGACGGGGGCCCGCACAAGCGGUGGAGUAUGUGGUUUAAUUCGAUGCAACGCGAAGAACCUUACCUGGCCUUGACAUGUCCGGAAUUCUACAGAGAUGCGGAAGUGCCUUCGGGAA
RNAcentral lists this ribosomal RNA (499 nucleotides) under uncultured Lysobacteraceae bacterium. Its description in RNAcentral is "bacterial SSU rRNA". It matches the Rfam family "Bacterial small subunit ribosomal RNA", at positions 529 to 1026 of the family's 1533-position model. The record is from RNAcentral. Lineage: Bacteria; Pseudomonadati; Pseudomonadota; Gammaproteobacteria; Lysobacterales; Lysobacteraceae.